AAUCGAAGCAGUGAACUUAAGCCCCAGUAAACGGCGGCCGUAACUAUAACGGUCCUAAGGUAGCGAAAUUCCUUGUCGGGUAAGUUCCGACCCGCACGAAAGGCGUAACGAUUUGGGCACUGUCUCAACAACAGACUCGGUGAAAUUGUAAUUCCGGUGAAGAUGCCGGAUACCUGCGACAGGACGGAAAGACCCCAUGGAGCUUUACUGUAGCUUGACAUUGGGUCUUGGUACUACAUGUACAGGAUAGGUGGGAGGCUUUGAAACCAGGACGCCAGUUUUGGCGGAGCCAUCCUUGGGAUACCACCCUUGUAGUACUGGGACUCUAACCAUAGGCCAUGAAUCUGGUCUUGGGACACUGUCAGGUGGGCAGUUUGACUGGGGCGGUCGCCUCCCAAAAGGUAACGGAGGCGCUCAAAGGUUCUCUCAGUACGGUCGGAAAUCGUACGUAGAGUGUAAAGGCAAAAGAGAGCUUGAUUGCAAGACAUACAGGUCGAGCAAGGAUGAAAAUCGGACUUAGUGAUCCGGUGGUUCUGCGUGGAAGGGCCAUCGCUCAACGGAUAAAAGCUACCCUGGGGAUAACAGGCUUAUCUCCCCCAAGAGUCCACAUCGACGGGGAGGUUUGGCACCUCGAUGUCGGCUCAUCACAUCCUGGGGCUGUAGUAGGUCCCAAGGGUUGGGCUGUUCGCCCAUUAAAGUGGUACGCGAGCUGGGUUCAGAACGUCGUGAGACAGUUCGGUCCCUAUCCGUCGCAGGCGUAGGAAAUUUGAGAAGACCUGUCCUUAGUACGAGAGGACCGGGAUGGACGUACCUCUGGUGUACCAGUUGUNCUGCCAAGGGCAUGGCUGGGUAGCUAUGUACGGAAUGGAUAAGCGCUGAAAGCAUCUAAGCGCGAAGCCAACUUCAAGAUAAGAUUUCCCACCGCAAGGGUAAGACCCCAGAAAGACUAUCUGGUUGAUAGGUCGAAGGUGUAAGUGCAGCAAUGUAUUUAGCUUAUCGAUACUAAUAGGUCGAGGACUUGACCAA
Molecule: ribosomal RNA, 1026 nt
Filed under: Clostridioides difficile
Lineage: Bacteria; Bacillati; Bacillota; Clostridia; Peptostreptococcales; Peptostreptococcaceae
Description: bacterial LSU rRNA
Rfam family: Bacterial large subunit ribosomal RNA
Source: RNAcentral